GGGGGUGUAGCUCAGCUGGGAGAGCGCUUGAAUGGCAUUCAAGAGGUCAUGGGUUCGAUCCCCACCAUCUCCACCA
This 76-nucleotide transfer RNA is filed under the name Clostridiales bacterium. RNAcentral describes it as "tRNA-Ala". It matches the Rfam family "tRNA". Rfam says of the family: Transfer RNA (tRNA) molecules are approximately 80 nucleotides in length. RNAcentral also lists the same sequence under 2 other names. Lineage: Bacteria; Bacillati; Bacillota; Clostridia; Eubacteriales. The record is from RNAcentral.